UACGUAGGGCGCAAGCGUUGUUCGGAUUCAUUGGGCGUAAAGGGUGCGUAGGCGGCGCGGUAAGUCGGGUGUGAAAUCUCGGAGCUUAACUCCGAAACUGCAUUCGAUACUGCCGUGCUUGAGGACUGGAGAGGAGACUGGAAUUUACGGUGUAGCGGUGAAAUGCGUAGAUAUCGUAAGGAAGACCAGUGGCGAAGGCGGGUCUCUGGACAGUUACUGACGCUGAGGCACGAAGGCCAGGGGAGCAAACGGG
Molecule: ribosomal RNA, 253 nt
Filed under: uncultured bacterium
Lineage: Bacteria
Description: partial 16S ribosomal RNA
Rfam family: Bacterial small subunit ribosomal RNA
Source: RNAcentral